UGUGAUAAUGAAGGCUAUGGU
Molecule: microRNA, 21 nt
Filed under: Populus trichocarpa (black cottonwood)
Lineage: Eukaryota; Viridiplantae; Streptophyta; Magnoliopsida; Malpighiales; Salicaceae
Description: ptc-miR6422
Source: miRBase by way of RNAcentral